AGAGUUUGAUCCUGGCUCAGGACGAACGCUGGCGGCGUGCUUAACACAUGCAAGUCGUACGAGGUUAUCGAGGUGCUUGCACUUCGGUGCCUAGUGGCGAACGGGUGCGUAACACGUGAGCAACCUGCCCUCCGGCGGGGGAUAGCCGGCCUAACGGCCGGGUAAUACCGCGUACGACCUCGGGUUCGCAUGGACCUGAGGUGAAAGCGGCCGCAAGGUCGCGCCGGUGGAGGGGCUCGCGGCCUAUCAGCUUGUUGGUGAGGUAACGGCUCACCAAGGCUACGACGGGUAGCUGGUCUGAGAGGAUGGCCAGCCACAUUGGGACUGAGAUACGGCCCAGACUCCUACGGGAGGCAGCAGUGGGGAAUAUUGCGCAAUGGCCGCAAGG
Molecule: ribosomal RNA, 388 nt
Filed under: uncultured bacterium
Lineage: Bacteria
Description: bacterial SSU rRNA
Rfam family: Bacterial small subunit ribosomal RNA
Source: RNAcentral